GGAGAAGGACUGUGACUCAGUGAUACCAUGUUGGCUUCCCAUGCAGAAGGUCCCAGGUUCAAACCCUGGCAUCUCCA
Molecule: non-coding RNA, 77 nt
Organism: Podarcis lilfordi (Lilford's wall lizard)
Lineage: Eukaryota; Metazoa; Chordata; Lepidosauria; Squamata; Lacertidae
Source: the annotation of a GenBank genome assembly